GCAUUGAUUAGGUUCAAUCCAGGUUUCUUUUCCUUCAGACUACUACUAGCUCCCCUCUUAACGUUGUCCUUAGGUGGAGUAGGGUGAACUAUAAUUUUCUUUCCAUUAUGAUUGAAGAAAUAUGAAUUUGAUCGUCCAAACAGGGUAGCAUCAUGAUCGUAUAGCCAUGGUCUGCCUAGGAUAAUGCUACUUACUCCCAUAGGAAGGACAUCACACCAUACCUUCUCCUGAUAGGAUUGGAAUUGUAUUUGGACUUGGCAUCUAAGUUUAAUGGGUAGUGANNNNNNNNNNNNNNNNNNNNNNNNNNNGGGAUUGGGAUGGGGUACGGUAGGCAACCCUAAACUCUUGAUGGUGUUGGUUGAUAUGGCAUUGACACAGCUUCCACUAUCUAAGAUGAUUUUGCAGGCUUUUUCUCCUAUUUUGAUAAAGGUUUGUAGGAUGUUGGUCCUACGCCAAUCUUCUUGUUCUUUAGCCUGGGUCAAUAUACAUCUCACAACUCCUAGAAAUUCAGACGUCUCAAUGAUUUCUUCCUCUUCUUCAUAUUCAUCUACCAAAUUGGUCUCUGCUUCGUAGACUUCUUCUCCAUAAUUCUCUAGGGUCUCAAGAUCUUCUUCUUCUACUUCUCCUAUGUGUAACGCUCUAGUGGGGCAUUGGCUUGCAUAAUGUCCUAUUUUAUGACACCUAAAACAAGGGACAUUGUUUUCCUUUCUACCUUCAGGGGCGUUUCCUUUGUCGUCCCUACGAGCCUGUGGAGUGAUAGGAUUGGGUCUGUGUGAUGGGUUUGAACUUGGGUUUGGCCUGCUUCCAGGGUUGCUAAUCCUAUUGGGUUCAGGUCGUCGAAAAAUGGGUCCCCUCUGGAAUCGUUCGCAGUCUCUGGCAAUCUGGUAGGCUUAGUCUAAAUCAUGAAUUUCCCUUAAGAACAAUUCCCUUUGAAUGUCCUCCUUAAGACCAGCUCUAAACCUAGAUAGGGUUACGGCUUCUGACUCGACAAUGUUGCACCUCAUAGCGAACUCAUCAAAUUUGGCAAUGUACUCAGAUACAGUUUUCCCUCCUUGAUUUAAUCUUUGCCAUUGAUCUAGUAACCUCUGUUCGUAGGAUAAUAGGACGUAUUUCUCUCUUAGCUUAAUUUUCAUCUGUCUCCAUGUAUUGAUAGGUAGUUCUUCUCUUUGCCUA
This 1173-nucleotide long non-coding RNA is filed under the name Phoenix dactylifera (date palm). RNAcentral's name for it is "long non-coding RNA (PDAC_LNC006601)". The record is from RNAcentral. Lineage: Eukaryota; Viridiplantae; Streptophyta; Magnoliopsida; Arecales; Arecaceae.